Orcinus orca (killer whale) is the source of this 232-nucleotide long non-coding RNA. RefSeq lists it as uncharacterized. The transcript has 3 exons. Lineage: Eukaryota; Metazoa; Chordata; Mammalia; Artiodactyla; Delphinidae. The record is from RefSeq and is a predicted model, not a curated record.
GAUGGAAAGCCAGAAGACCAUGGGGCCUGGCAAUCAUCUGUCUGCAACAAUUAAAGUGUGUGGAUAGGUCCGGCUGCAGUAGCGUUAAGUGCUAGAGAGAUGGCAUUUGGCAGAGCCGGAGAGCUUUCCUUGCCACACCCAUGCGAGGUUAUUACAAGGUACUGAACAAGAUCUUAUUACAAGAUACUGUUCCCUGUGCUAUACAGCGAAACCAAAGCAAAAGGCAGACAAA